This 725-nucleotide ribosomal RNA is filed under the name uncultured Aquicella sp. RNAcentral describes it as "bacterial SSU rRNA". It matches the Rfam family "Bacterial small subunit ribosomal RNA", at positions 94 to 819 of the family's 1533-position model. The record is from RNAcentral. Lineage: Bacteria; Pseudomonadati; Pseudomonadota; Gammaproteobacteria; Legionellales; Coxiellaceae.
AGCGGCGGACGGGUGAGUAAUACGUAGGGAUCUGCCUCGAAGCGGGGGAUAACAUUGGGAAACUAGUGCUAAUACCGCAUACUACUCUGAGGAGGAAAGCUGGGUUUACCUGGCACUUUGAGAUGAACCUACGUCCGAUUAGCUAGUUGGUAAGGUAAAGGCUUACCAAGGCGACGAUCGGUAGCUGGUCUGAGAGGACGGACAGCCACACUGGGACUGAGACACGGCCCAGACUCCUACGGGAGGCAGCAGUGGGGAAUAUUGGACAAUGGGGGCAACCCUGAUCCAGCGAUGCCGCGUGUGUGAAGAAGGCCUGCGGGUUGUAAAGCACUUUUGUUGGGGAAGAAGGUUAUGGCUGUGAAUAGCAGUCAUGAUUGACGGUACCCAAAGAAUAAGCACCGGCUAACUCUGUGCCAGCAGCCGCGGUAAUACAGAGGGUGCAAGCGUUAAUCGGAAUUACUGGGCGUAAAGGGCGCGUAGGUGGGAUAAUAAGUUGGAUGUGAAAGGCCUGGGCUUAACCUAGGAAUUGCAUUUGAUACUGUUAUUCUAGAGUGAAACAGAGGGUGGUGGAAUUUCCGGUGUAGCGGUGAAAUGCGUAGAUAUCGGAAGGAACACCCGUGGCGAAGGCGACCACCUGGGUUUUUACUGACACUGAGGCGCGAAAGCGUGGGUAGCGAACAGGAUUAGAUACCCUGGUAGUCCACGCUGUAAACGAUGAAUACUAG